UUACGGCCAUAUCAUGUUGAAACACUGGUUCCCGUACGAUAACCGAAGAUAAGCAACGCCGCGCCUAGUCAAUACCUAGAUGGGUGAUAGCUUUUGAAUACGAGGUGGUGUAU
Non-coding RNA from Acanthosepion pharaonis, 113 nucleotides. The record is from the annotation of a GenBank genome assembly. NCBI's taxonomy places the organism in Eukaryota, Metazoa, Mollusca, Cephalopoda, Sepiida, Sepiidae.